This 407-nucleotide ribosomal RNA is filed under the name uncultured prokaryote. RNAcentral's name for it is "bacterial SSU rRNA". It matches the Rfam family "Bacterial small subunit ribosomal RNA", at positions 355 to 774 of the family's 1533-position model. The record is from RNAcentral.
UGGGGAAUAUUGCACAAUGGGCGCAAGCCUGAUGCAGCGACGCCGCGUGAGGGAUGACGGCCUUCGGGUUGUAAACCUCUUUCGCCAGGGACGAAGCGCAAGUGACGGUACCUGGAGAAGAAGCACCGGCCAACUACGUGCCAGCAGCCGCGGUAAUACGUAGGGUGCGAGCGUUGUCCGGAAUUACUGGGCGUAAAGAGCUCGUAGGCGGUUUGUCGCGUCGUCUGUGAAAUUCUGCAACUCAAUUGCAGGCGUGCAGGCGAUACGGGCAGACUUGAGUACUACAGGGGAGACUGGAAUUCCUGGUGUAGCGGUGAAAUGCGCAGAUAUCAGGAGGAACACCGGUGGCGAAGGCGGGUCUCUGGGUAGUAACUGACGCUGAGGAGCGAAAGCGUGGGGAGCAAACA